GACGAACGCUGGCGGCGUGCUUAACACAUGCAAGUCGAACGGAAAGGCCCUGCUUUUGUGGGGUGCUCGAGUGGCGAACGGGUGAGUAACACGUGAGUAUCCUGCCCUUGACUUUGGGAUAACUUCAGGAAACUGGGGCUAAUACCGGAUAGGAGCUCCUGCUGCAUGGUGGGGGUUGGUAUGUUUCGGCGGUUGGGGAUGGACUCGCGUCUUAUCAGCUUGUUGGUGGUGUAGUGGCUUACCAAGGCUUUGACGGGUAGCCGGCCUGAGAGGGUUACCGGCGACAUAGGGACUGAGAUACGGCCCAGAGGCGAACGGGAGGCAGCAGUGGGGAAGAGUGCACAAUGGGCGGAAGCAUGAUGCAGAAACGCCGCGUGCGGGAUGACGGCCUUCGGGUUGUAAACCGCUUGCGCCUGUGACGAAGAGUGAGUGACGGUAAUGGGUAAAGAAGCACCGGCUAACUACGUG
RNAcentral lists this ribosomal RNA (468 nucleotides) under uncultured bacterium. RNAcentral's name for it is "partial 16S ribosomal RNA". It matches the Rfam family "Bacterial small subunit ribosomal RNA", at positions 28 to 507 of the family's 1533-position model. The record is from RNAcentral.